RNAcentral lists this ribosomal RNA (698 nucleotides) under Thalassiosira anguste-lineata. RNAcentral describes it as "eukaryotic LSU rRNA". The stretch from base 235 to 389 matches the Rfam family "5.8S ribosomal RNA". The record is from RNAcentral. Lineage: Eukaryota; Bacillariophyta; Thalassiosirophyceae; Thalassiosirales; Thalassiosiraceae.
CCAAACCUUACGUCCCCGUGAACCGGCGCGGAGGGUCAGCGGCCAUCACUGGCUGCCGACUCGCCGCCGCCAACCUUAACAUAAAUCAAAAACUAGGUGCCACAGCAGGCUCUGGCUAGCCUCACGGCCGGCCGGCUAGCUGUUGGUGCCGCCCAAUACCAAACAAAACUGAAACUGAACCCAAACUGUCGCUGGACCCCUUAACCGGGAUCUAUCGGCUGUAUAAUCCAUUACAACUUUCGGCAAUGGAUGUCUUGGAUCCCACAACGAUGAAGAACGCAGCGAAAUGCGAUACGUAAUGCGAAUUGCAGGACCUCGUGAAUCAUCAAAAUUUUGAACGCACAUUGCGCUUUUGGGUAAUUCCCAAGAGCAUGCUUAUCUGAGUGUCCCUAAACCCCACUCAGCCACUGCUGCGCUUAACGGCGCGGCGGUGAGCUGGACUGUGGCGGUGCGCGGUUCUGCCGCGCUCCGUUGAAAUUCAUAUGUUUGUUGUUGUGCCCGGGUAGCUUCGGCUGCGGGCCUGAUGCGAACGCGACAAAGGAUUCGGUAGAUGCACUGACGUGUGUUCCUAUCUUGAGUUGCGAGAGCAGAAGGCUAACUUGGUGCAGCGGUGAAAUGGUGGCCUCUUGUGCUAACGCGCUGGACGGUCGCCGCCGUGAAAUUAUUCAUUAUGGAUCUCAGAUUAAGUAAGACUACCC